This 488-nucleotide ribosomal RNA is filed under the name Pimelia simplex. RNAcentral describes it as "partial large subunit ribosomal RNA". It matches the Rfam family "Bacterial large subunit ribosomal RNA", at positions 1851 to 2597 of the family's 2925-position model. Lineage: Eukaryota; Metazoa; Arthropoda; Insecta; Coleoptera; Tenebrionidae. The record is from RNAcentral.
AGUCUGGCCUGCCCAAUGAUUUUUGAAUGGCCGCAGUAUUUUGACUGUGCAAAGGUAGCAUAAUCAUUAGUUUUUUGAUUGAAAGCUGGAAUGAAAGGUUUGAUGAGGAAAUGACUGUCUCUGAGUUAAUGUUUUAGAAUUUCAAUUUUAAGUUAAAAAGCUUAAAUUUUUUAUAAAGACGAGAAGACCCUAUAGAGUUUUAUAUUUUUCUUUAUUUAGUGAUUAAGGAUUUUAUUUUUUUAUAUAUGGAAGAAUAUUUUGUUGGGGUGAUGGAAAAAUUUGAUAAACUUUUUUUUGUUUGUUACAUUAAUAUAUGAUUUUUUGAUCCUUAUUUUUGGAUUAUAAGAUUAAAUUACCUUAGGGAUAACAGCGUAAUUUUUUUUGGAGAGUUCUUAUCGAUAAAAAAGUUUGCGACCUCGAUGUUGGAUUAAAAUUAAAUUUUGGUGUAGAAGCUAAAAAUUUUAGGUCUGUUCGACCUUUAAAAUUUU